Molecule: long non-coding RNA, 3273 nt
Organism: Dromaius novaehollandiae (emu)
Lineage: Eukaryota; Metazoa; Chordata; Aves; Casuariiformes; Dromaiidae
Exons: 2
Source: RefSeq, a predicted model, not a curated record
AGCCAGGCGCCGGAAGUGAACCCCGCGUGCUGGGGCAGGGACGGGGUCGGUGGCUCCGCCCCCUGCCGGGGCGUUGGGGCGGGGCGGCCGCUCGCCGGGGGGCGGGGCCUGCCGGGGGGCGGGGGAGGCCCCGUUGCCUGCGCUGGGGGAAGCGCGGCGCCAUACGGCGGGCUGGAGCGUCGUCGGGUGCUGUUUCCAGCUGGCGGAGCUUAAAAGCGGCCUGGCGACAGGGGAGCCGCUGCCGCAGCCCGCGGGAGGAGCCGGUGACCGCGGCGCCUGCGGCGUCAUAGGUGUUUAGAUACAGGCUCUUUGUAGUUGCAGGGUUUUUUUGUAAGGUUUUUUUUUUUCUCUUAAUUAUUAUUUUUUCUCUGGCUGUGCCAAUCUGUAUGAAAAGGAUUGGCGUGCCGGUAAUGAUGGCUUGCCUCGCUGUGUUUACGGUGCAUUUAUAAAGGAUUGCGGUCCGGUGACUUUGGUGCGUUAGUGAUGUGGUUUUCUCACCAGCAUGUUUUGCUCGGAGACUUAUAAUGUGUGUUUCUUAACAGGGAAUGUUAUAAACUUAAGCAAAGCUGCCUUAAUGUUGUUUGUUCUUUACUCCAACAGAUGAUUUGAAUAAUCCUUUUAUGUCCUUGUUUCCCUUGUAGCAAAACCCUCUCUCCCUUCAGGUGGCCUAAGAUGUAUUUACUUCCUGACAAUUGCUGAAGAUGAGUGAAUUUAAAUACAAAUACCAAUGCCUUCCAGUACUACACCUGCACCUCCCUGAGGAGAUCACAACAUCCCAGCGGUGAUUGCUCGCCUGGUGGAAAUGUUUCCAGUGGAGGUAUACAGGUGCAAACUUUGUCAGUUCACAAGCAGUUCAAAAACAGGCAUCAGGGAAGACCUCAUGUCUUUCAGUGCACAAAGUGCUCAUCAUAUUUUGAAAAUGAGCAGAUAAGAAAUCUCCAUAUAGCUUGCCAUUAUGAGGAUAUCUUUAAAUGUCUGUGAUUUUACCAGUAAGUUGAAUAUAUAUUUUUUUUAUUUUCAUGCAAUUGCCUCAGCUGUAAACUUGUUUAUGCACAUAACUUUAUUUGGCCAAUGCAAAGAUUUAGUUUGAGAGUUUCAGCAUGAAGUGGAGAUGCUAUCAUGAGAAGUUAUAGCAAACUGCCUUAAUAGUGGUUAAAAAAGAAGAAAUAUGAAUUCCGAAGGUUGAAAGAAGAGUCAUAAAUGUUCCCUUUUUAAUGUUCCUACAUCUCACAAAAUCCUGGCUCAUUUUAUAUUGUGAAUUCUGAAUAUUUCUAAGAGUUGACCUUCAUAUUCUGUUAAUUUUAAUCUUACUUUGUUUUUAGUGGCUCUGUAACAUAAUGCUGUAAAUAUAUCUAUCAAGAUUAAUGCUUUUUAUCUUUAAGUUGUGUGAAGCAACUAAUAGCUAAAUACUGUAUUUAUAAAUGGAGGACUUUGGCAAAGUGAUUUCAUCCACAUCUCAAGUUUUUAUUAAGGUUCCUAUGGCUGCUACUGUUAAUACAGAUCAAACUCUUGCUGUUUGAGUUGAAUGGCUGGUUUGGUUCUGACUGACCAAUAAGCCCAAUGCAGAAGCAGAUAAUCUUUGUGAAAUAAGGUGAUGGCUUAUAGGAGGGCUCUGGAGUUUGUGGCAGUGGUCAGGUAAUGGAAUAGCCAAUGUCAGGUAUGGGUAAUGCAGAAUAACAAGGAUUCCUGUGAUCAUAGCUGUGCUGGACAUUGUGUAUGUGUUACAGUGUAGGUUUCAAAGGGUUUGGUAAUAGCAGAUGAGAUCAUGGGUUGUGCACUCUAAGCCUUAUGUCUUCCUGUCCGUCUUUGGAGUAGGUAGGGUUGUUCUGAGAUUUAACUAUUUAAAAUGGCCAGAAUUAGAAUUUUUGUAGGAGAUACUUGCAGAAUUUCUGCAGGAGAAGUAACUAAAAAGUCAUUUUCAGAACUAAAAGCAAAACUUGAGUAUUUUUCUUAUUUUCUUCAUAACAAUGUACAUCAUCUCCACUUAAUUGUAUGCAACUGUAAGCAGGCAGUGAGCCUAGAGAGAUUUUUUCUCUAAGAGGUUGGGAAGGAGAGCACAUAAAAAGAACUGAAAGUGUUAUAUCUCUUCUCAUGGUAUUUCAAAAUAAGAAUGACUACAAUAGUGAAAAGAUAUGAGUAUGUAUAUGAACAAUCUGUUUUCUUAAGUGAAAGGAGAGCUGUUUUGUAUUGACAAAUUUAAAUUUCUCUCUUCAAUGGAUAAUUUCCCACCAGUUUGUUUGAAGCUCUUCUCCCUUACAACUGUAGUGAGAAAGCAUCCUGGAGGUGAAGUUUGCUGGGAUACUUUCAUGCAAUUCCCAUUGCAUUCUGUGAGCCAAUGAAUUUUGAAGGUUAUAACUUAACUGUUAGGAAAACUUUCUGCAUAUUUUGCGUAGUUUUACCUUCCUGUUGAAAACGUGAUAUAUAACCUACUCAAAUUUUCGGUAGUGUUACCGAAUUGACUGGGUCAUUACUUUGUAGAUAUUUCAGAUGCUUGUUUUGUAUAUUUGUGUCUUUGUGAUAACUGUGAACAAAGAAAACCCUUUUAAAUAUAUAUUUAAUACUGUGCUGAUUUCUGUAUAUAUAUUGAGGUGGAGAAACAUUAAAGAAACUGUGAGUUGUCUUCAGAUUGCUAAUAUUUUUUCAGUCAUUUAAUCCCAUUAAAGAUGGGGGAGUUUUAUCAUAACAUUACAAAGAAAUUAUUUUUCUGCCAUUUUAUUAUACUUGUGGAGCUGAUACAAUGAGCAUGCAAGUAUUCCUGCUUGCUACAAUAAUAGUCUUUGAAAUGAGUAUUAACUGUAGUGAAGCUUCUUAGUACUAAACUUGUGUUCAAAUUCUUGUCUCUUAGCAUCAAGUUUUAGCUACAACUGCUAACCUUUUUUGAUGCAGUUUGCUUGUUCUAACUCUUAAUCUACACGAAAGCUUAAUUAGUUAAUGGAAAAAUGUACAAAUGGAUAAAAUAUUUCAGUGGAGUAUACCCUAGUUUCUUCUUAAAUAUUUAUUUAGGUCAGAACUAUCAAUUUGCUAAGCCGAGGCCUGCUUCCUGUAUGCAGUUACCUGGAUAUUGUUUGUUGUUUGUCUAAAUUAAAAUAAUUGUUGGUAUUUAUAUAGGCCGUAUUAUAACAGUUUACCAUCAACAUCAGUGAUAGAGGCAAAAAUCUGAAAGGCUAAUCAUGCUCUCUGUUCUCAUUUUUGGUCUCUGAAUCCUAAUCUUCAAGAGUUGAAAAUUUGCUAUGAAGUUCAGUAAUCUUAUAUUAAAACCUUUAUGUGAAAGAG